AUUGAACGCUGGCGGCAGGCCUAACACAUGCAAGUCGAACGGUAACAGGAAGCAGCUUGCUGCUUUGCUGACGAGUGGCGGACGGGUGAGUAAUGUCUGGGAAACUGCCUGAUGGAGGGGGAUAACUACUGGAAACGGUAGCUAAUACCGCAUAACGUCGCAAGACCAAAGAGGGGGACCUUCGGGCCUCUUGCCAUCGGAUGUGCCCAGAUGGGAUUAGCUAGUAGGUGGGGUAACGGCUCACCUAGGCGACGAUCCCUAGCUGGUCUGAGAGGAUGACCAGCCACACUGGAAAUGAGACACGGUCCAGACUCCUACGGGAGGCAGCAGUGGGGAAUAUUGCACAAUGGGCGCAAGCCUGAUGCAGCCAUGCCGCGUGUAUGAAGAAGGCCUUCGGGUUGUAAAGUACUUUCAGCGGGGAGGAAGGGAGUAAAGUUAAUACCUUUGCUCAUUGACGUUACCCGCAGAAGAAGCACCGGCUAACUCCGUG
RNAcentral lists this ribosomal RNA (490 nucleotides) under uncultured bacterium. RNAcentral describes it as "partial 16S ribosomal RNA". It matches the Rfam family "Bacterial small subunit ribosomal RNA", at positions 30 to 507 of the family's 1533-position model. The record is from RNAcentral.